ACGUACUGUGCGAACGUUAUUCGGAAUCACUGGGCUUAAAGGGUGCGUAGGCGGUCAAUUAAGUAGGGUGUGAAAGCUCUCGGCUCAACCGAGGAACUGCGCUCUAAACUGGUUGACUUGAGUGAGAUAGGGGUGUGCGGAACUUCCGGUGGAGCGGUGAAAUGUGUUGAUAUCGGAAGGAACACCAGCAGCGAAAGCGGCACACUGGGUCUCAACUGACGCUGAGGCACGAAAGCUAGGGUAGCGAACGGG
This 252-nucleotide ribosomal RNA is filed under the name uncultured bacterium. Its description in RNAcentral is "partial 16S ribosomal RNA". It matches the Rfam family "Bacterial small subunit ribosomal RNA", at positions 525 to 776 of the family's 1533-position model. The record is from RNAcentral.